This 352-nucleotide long non-coding RNA is filed under the name Phoenix dactylifera (date palm). RNAcentral describes it as "long non-coding RNA (PDAC_LNC021851)". Lineage: Eukaryota; Viridiplantae; Streptophyta; Magnoliopsida; Arecales; Arecaceae. The record is from RNAcentral.
UUCCCAUUUUGUUAAGUUAAAAGACAGAAUUAUAAUGUUAUUGCAAGUUCUGUUUGUAAGUUCUGUUUUAUUUCCCAUUUUGUUAAGUUAAAAGACAGAAUUAUAAUGUUAUUGCAGAUCCUGCCAACAAGCCUUGGUUCCGCAAGCUGCGCCCUUCUCACAGCAUGCACUGGCAGGGGUUAUUGAUUCCAAUCCAAAUGGUGGCAUUCUGACUAUUUUUUAAGAAUAGAGAAAGGAGGUUAUUAAAAAUCCCAAAGAUAUGAGAAUCUGUUGUUGUUUGAUUUUUACAUAAUGCUGCUAUGGCUCUUACACAAGCAUUAAGCUAGUGCCGCUGCAUCCUCCUUUCUUUCUG